UAUCUUUUUACUAAUCUUAAGUACAUUGAUAGGAACAUAGUCUUUUCUGUUUGAGCUGAAGGUGAUGUUUCAGCACCAAGAGGAGGUGGACAGCUCCCAAAAUGAUGUUGACAGGAUUAACGAAACAAAAUCCCUUCACUUGUUAACAGUCCUCAGAACCACAACACAGCCGUGUUGUGAGCGCAGUGCACUGAACCUUUAAUAUAAAACCCAUCGGUAUCCACAGAGGAAACUUCAGAACCAUGUCAAAAUGCAUCCGCGCUUAUAGCAAAUGUAACAGGCGCCUUCUUGUGGUGGAAAUCUAAAAGUACAUAGAAGCACAGUUGUACUCGAACUGCGGCCGGCUCUUUUAACUAAAGGAUAAAUGAUGUCCACAUAGUAUCAGUACACAGGGAAAAUACAUGAGGGCAGUUCAAUUUAUUAGAGGCAGUUUACAAUUUUUUUUACAAAGUUCUGUUCGCCACAUACUUACAGGUACGGGUUAUUGUUUACUAACAUGAAUACUAGUCUUAAGGAAAAUCGGUUGUAGUUUAGUAAAAAAUCAACACUGUUGUGGUUGUUUAAGCUUGACCGGAUGAAGAACAAAAAAUUAAAAAAACAAACAAACAAAAAACCCCAAAGGUAAUGAACCCUGAACAAUCCAGUAUAUCCACUAGAGGGCACACGGUCACUUUCAUUCUACAUUCCAGCAGCUCUAACGUCACCGUGGGCGUCAACCAUUGUCAAAGGUGACACCGUUAAGCCUUGGCGGAGUUAAUAUUGUAACACAACUAUUCCUGUGACUGCGUCAUCGGAUCCAUCGCUGCCAUCACUGUUGCUGACGCUGAGAGGAUUUCACCUGCUGACGACUCUCUGACAUGAACGUCAGUCACCUUUCAGUGGGUGAGCCAAUCAACACUGAAGCAUGGCAGUGGUACUACAGUGAGGUCGGGGACAAGCGUUGUCCUGUGGUGGAUACCUGGUG
Long non-coding RNA from Cynoglossus semilaevis (tongue sole), 964 nucleotides. RefSeq lists it as uncharacterized. The transcript has 3 exons. Lineage: Eukaryota; Metazoa; Chordata; Actinopteri; Pleuronectiformes; Cynoglossidae. The record is from RefSeq and is a predicted model, not a curated record.